RNAcentral lists this small RNA (28 nucleotides) under Bombyx mori (domestic silkworm). Its description in RNAcentral is "ovarian small RNA-35928". The record is from RNAcentral. Lineage: Eukaryota; Metazoa; Arthropoda; Insecta; Lepidoptera; Bombycidae.
UGUGGUAACCACUCACUAUCAGGUAUGC